AAUGAAUAUAGAAAUGUUUCAGAAUUAAACAGUAACACAAUCAUGAAUUCUGCAAGUCUCCUAAUACAUUUAAGAGGUUACAGGACUUGAAAAGAUUAAGAAAAUACACCACAUUAUCUGAUUUAACCAAUGAAAUAACUAAUUUCAUGUUCAAAGAAAUAAUAAUACAAGAAACAAAGAAUAAAUACUAUAGAUAAAUGCAAUACCAUAUUGAACAAAUCUAGCAAACCAAACGAACCCAACUGAGAUUCCAUGCGAUUAGCCUUUCCUGAAUAGUCAGCUCCCAGGGUGGUGAGAAAUAGAAUGCAUCAAGAAGAGAAGCUAUCAGGGACUUGUAUCAAUCAGUUGCUGUCAUCCAGCAAUUAACUAAUCAUCCAUCUACAUAAUGUAAGGUUAUAUUCCUGUCUUGGCCCUUUUCAUUCCUGCAGUGUUAAAGGGUGACAUGCUAGGACUCAUGCUUGGACUCAUACUUGGGCUUUCCUCCCUUAGGGUACCAUUAAGCAUAGCCAAUUCCCUUAGUUGCUGCUUCUUAUAGUGAUCUGAGGAUUCAUCCACAGGCUUCAAGAGAGUUUCUAGUAUUGUUAUAGCGUGAUCCAAGCGUGCAUUUAUUAUAUCCUCUGGAAAUUCAGCCUCCACCAACACGUGCAGUGGCUCAUUCAGGUGUUCAUAUCCAGGUUUAUCUUUUAGUUUCUCCUCCUGAAGAAAAAAAAUGGCUAAUUAUGAGACUUUGAGAACUUAUCGGGUACAAAAGAAGCCAAAUGAACCUAGCAGAAAUUAAGAUUUCAGAUAGAGCCAUCCCAAUCAUAGCAAGAUCUUCUUUAAAUAAAUAAAUAGAUUUUAAUAAGCAGGGAAGAGGCCAAAUAAUUCCACCAUAUUUAUUGAAACAUUCAACUGAUCCCCUAUAAUUUUAUUUAACAGACAAAUAAGUUCAAUUGCUAAGUUGUGCAGUAAACAUCAUCACUGAAGCCUAUCAUUUGAUGUGGAAGGCAUCCCUAAACUAGGACCACCACCAUCUCUCUCUCUCUCCCCCCUCACACAUCAAACAGUGUCAGACUUGAACUCCAGCAAGAAGAAAAAAAAAAAAAAUCAACCGCAUAGAAAAGAAAUCACAGGAAAAUAAAAAAUAAGAGGUAAAUAACCUGAUGAGAAACCCUGAAGUCAAGUCACAUCCAUAAACUUCAGGAGUGAAUCAGUAAGAUUUUAACAGAGUUUAUUUAUUCUUUUUUUUAUUCCCGUCAGAAAAUAACAAUCAGUAUCACUCUCUUCCUAUUCAAAGUUAGUAUACAAUAAAUCAAAGAUUAAAAAAAACUCUUUUUUUCCCUAUUUGUCCUUAAAUGGCACUGUUCACAGUUCAUGGUAAACACCCAAUCAAUCACCAACCAACUGAAAAGCUACUGAGAUCUGCACAAAGGAGCCAUCAUUACAACACCACACCCAAGGAAACCCAAACCAAUGAGAAUGCUAAGAACAGAUGAAACCAAUGAGGAGAGAAUAUGAAAUGAAUAAAAUGACCAAUUAAACAUCUAAUCCAGAGGAAAAUAAAACCUCUGCUAAAAGGAGUUAACCCAACCCAACUCAGUCUCCUCACUAUCCAUAUACUUGGUUAUUUUCAUAUAGGAAGACGAAAAAGGACAAGCAUUCUCAUGUACUACAAUGGUAUGAACAAUAAGAAAAAACACGCAUUCUCAAGUUCUACAAUGGUAUGAACAAUAAGAAAAAACACGCAUUCUCAAGUUCUACAAUGGUACGAACAAUAAGAAAAAACAUGUACAGGCUACAUAGGCCAAAUUUUGUCUCACUUACCUUGUUUCAUGUGUCACUAACAUAAUCUUUUUAACCAUCCAUGAGCAAUAACAUUAUCCAAUUACAAGUCCAUCCAAGGAAAUUCUAUAAUGACAUAACUUCAAUAGAUAAAAUUGCUGAUGUUAAUAUAGUGACUCAAACUUCCAUAAUUAUACAGAUGAGACUUGAAGUUUGAAUAUAAAUAUGCAAAAGGAGAUGCAAAUCACCAUUGAGGAAAGCUGGGGAAGAGCUAUUUGUGGCAAAACCUACAGUUUAACAUGUCUUCCUUUAGAAAACUGGAGUAAAAGGAAAUGGAAAAAGAAUAAUACAAGUAAUUAUUCAAUUAUCAAUGAAAAAAGUACAGCUAUCCAUUUGACUGGAUGCAACUUAACCAAACAGAAAAUUUUCAUGGGCAAGCAGUUUAGAGUGACAAAACUCAUCAUACUAUGUUCAACCUGAUCCAUUAGCAACUCAAAGAAGACUCCUUUAACAAAUUAUGAAUAUAUCAUAACCAAUGAUACCUUUAAAGAAUCCUUUACAGACCCCUUGCCUCGUAUGUAAACCCUGCAUUCUGUCAUGGCUUCAACCCUUUUCAAGGAAUUUCCCCGUGGUCCCAAUAUACGGCCAACAAAAUUAUAAUUUGGAUAUUUGUCAACAGGGACAUCAAGUCUGACCACUCUCUUUAUGACAGGUGUGGUUGGGACUCCAGGGACCCCAGGCCAGCCCAUUGAAGCAGCAUGAAAUGAGGCCAUUCUUUGAAGAUGCCCAUUUUCCUACGAAAAGAAAUGCAACAUCAAUUGAAAUUCCAAAUAUAUUGUUCAAGAUUACAGACAAACUUUCUCAGUUCUAAAGAGAGAUAACGAACAGCAAUAUAGUUGUCCUUUUAGUUUUGAGUGGUGGGAAAGAGGAGAAUCGUACGUUAAGUGCAGCAAGAAAAGAUCAUGCAUGAGAUAUGCAAAAGGAAAGGCAGAACAGAAUUCUAUAAAUGCACAACUAAUUAGCUCAAGAAGCCAAUAAGCUGAUUCCCACCACCAUCUACUGCCAAACAAGCCAAAUCUUGUCUUACUUUCCUUUCCAAACAGACCACAACGCUGUAAAUGAAUUGAUCUUCCAUAGGAGACAUCCUUGGACAAUCACACAAUGGGUCUAACCACCCGCAAACUGCCUAAUGCAUGGCGAUAAUCAAGCAAAUCCAACUUCAACUUCUCAGCGGGAUAUCAACAGACAGUGAAAAUAAGGGCUAAUUAUACACUUACAGGUUUCAAAUAAACAGUUGUUAUUUAAAUUAGCACUUUCCAGAAUCAGAAUAUCGGUGUUUAACAUUUGUCCAGCAUCAAACAAUAUAUAUACACUGGAAAGAAUAACACCAGUAGCCCAUCAACAUCACUGAAAAAGACCUCAUAAAUGGUGAAAAUUUCCAUAUUCAUCUAUUCUGUCAUCACCUGGGGACCCCAGCUUAGCCACAAAGAACAUGCCAACAUACAUCCACCCCCAAGAGGGUCCCAUCCCAAAGAUUUCAGUCAAUCAAUAUGCAUAAUUUAACCAAAUGAAAUAGUAGAAGCUGAUUAGGGAUGCAGUCAGUCAAGCGAUGCUCUUUCUAUCUUACCUCCACUCAUUCAUAAUGGAUUAUCCGAUUUGUCUGUCACCCAACCUUGUGAGGCCUAACAACUAUCCUCUUAUUAUCGACAAAUUACUCAAAUAUUUAACUGCAAAUUUUUAACUCAGUCUUCUACUUAUCCACAUUGGCGCCAUUCAACUUUGCAAGUUUGAGUGACCAUCUCAUUAAUAUCAAUGGAUAACUGGUACCUAUCAAAUUUUACCCUUUUUUUCAGUUGGUAUUUUUUUGUAAGGGGGAUAGCCUCAAAGCCAUAAAUUAUUCUUCGUCCAAAGUCCAAAUACUCCACAGAUUCAAAAUAGAAAAUGUUCCUCCAGUUAUCAAUUAGAUAAAAUUCAAUAUUUACGA
RNAcentral lists this unclassified non-coding RNA (3745 nucleotides) under Hevea brasiliensis (rubber tree). Lineage: Eukaryota; Viridiplantae; Streptophyta; Magnoliopsida; Malpighiales; Euphorbiaceae. The record is from RNAcentral.